AGAUGCAGCAAGGCGGCUGCUCAUGAAUGAACCUCAUCCAUGGGAGGAAAGUCCGAGCACGAAAGAACACGGCGGUGGGUAACCCCCACCCGUCUCAAAACCGACCUCAUCGAAAGAUCAGAAUCGGCGGCUGGAGACGAGGGAAAGUGCCACAGAAAACAAACCCCCGAUGGCCAGGUAGAACGGGCUUCCAGCCCGUUUCCAACUCGGCACAGGGAAGGGUGAAAAGGUGCGGUAAGAGCGCACCGCCCGAUUGGUGACAAUCGGGGCAAGGUAAACCCCGCCGCGUGCAAGCCCAAGCAGAUCCUCUCACCUCCGGGUGAAUCCCUUGUUCGGGGACCGCAGGAUCGGGUAGGGUGCUGGGAGCAUCACGCUCCUCAUCGCAUUGGCAACACUGCGAGCAGAGAAAUAGUCGCCCAGUUGGUCAGGUCCGAUCCAGCCCCCGUCAAAAGGAAGAUCGGAAACCACCCAACGGACAAAACUCGGCUUACCAGUUGCAUCCAGCC
RNAcentral lists this RNase P RNA (506 nucleotides) under Phycisphaerales bacterium. RNAcentral describes it as "RNase P RNA component class A". It matches the Rfam family "Bacterial RNase P class A". Rfam says of the family: Ribonuclease P (RNase P) is a ubiquitous endoribonuclease, found in archaea, bacteria and eukarya as well as chloroplasts and mitochondria. Its best characterised activity is the generation of mature 5'-ends of tRNAs by cleaving the 5'-leader elements of precursor-tRNAs. Lineage: Bacteria; Pseudomonadati; Planctomycetota; Phycisphaerae; Phycisphaerales. The record is from RNAcentral.